Molecule: long non-coding RNA, 647 nt
Filed under: Numida meleagris (helmeted guineafowl)
Lineage: Eukaryota; Metazoa; Chordata; Aves; Galliformes; Numididae
Description: lncRNA (ENSNMEG00000011091.1)
Source: RNAcentral
AUGGAAGGAGAGGACUGCUGCCCACCUGGCUUGGAGGGGAAGAGAAUAUGUGACUCUAGGGAAGAAGCUAUUCUGGCCCAGCCAUGCUGUGGAAGUGCAGGUUUCCUCACCAGAUGGGAGUCUGGUGGUGGAAGGAGGGGAUUUUGGCAGGAUGGAGCUGGUCACAGAACUUUCUCCCUGGUCCAAGGAAUGGUGCAGAUGAGGUGCACUGUAUGCCAGUGCCUGGACUGCAUGGUCUGAGGUUACAUCCUGCAACCUUCAAGUGUAAAAGCAGAAUUUCUGUUUGGUGUGAAUAUUGAGGAACCCAAGUAGCUGCAGUUUUCCAGGAAGAGUGUGCCUCCCUUCCAGUGUCUAAUCUCUUUGUCCCACCCUGCACAACCCUUUACUGGCCUCUAUAGUGUUGCUGUCAUCUUAGGAGUUGCAGUAGCAGCUCUGAGGCACCAUUUGCAGUGUGAUUUCUGGGAUGGGUUUCUGUGAACUCCAUUAGAGUAGAUGUCAAAAAAGUAACAGCUGUGUGCAACCAUAUGAUGUUAAGUAACUGAGGUGGGGAUGACUGAAAGCAGCUGCAUCUCGGUGCACUAUGCUGAUUUUUCAAGUGUUUAAAACUGGUCUAGCUGUCUGGAUCUCUAGGAAGGUAUCUAGAUCAG